ACCGUAAAAUUUCAAGUACGUAAACAAAUUAAUUAUUUAAUUUUAUGCGGUUAAAGCUAUCAUUUAAAUAAUUGUGAAAUUAUUAUUUAAUAAAAAUAUUGGUACGUAAAACAUUUCAGGCUAGUACGAGGUUUGUUUAUAUCGGCUAGCAAAUUAAAUCCAUUUUCGUACCAUUAGGAUCUAAAUGUUGGCCACGUAAAUAAAUUGGUAGAUGUAUAAUUUUGUUAUGGCCCGGGAAUAUUAUAAAUUUUACGGGUUUAGCUAAAAUAAAUAUUUCGUUAUAACUAUUAAAUUUUGAAAUAUUUAGAGAAAUACUAGAAUAAUUAUUUAAUUAAUUAUUUAGUAUAAUCCCGAAUGAUAUUUUUUAUUAAAAUAUUUAAAUAGGAAGUUGUUAAAUGACCCGGGGCUAAAAUAUUUCCAGUUGCGAAACAUUUAAUAUACGGGCAAAUAAAAAGAAUAUAUAAAUAAAAAAAAAAAAAAUUUUAACAAAACUAGCUAACCGACUAAUGGGGUGGUUUGUGGCACAUUGGUUUAUCAAAACCAGGUACUUAAAAACCAAAGAGUAGUGCCCAAGUAAUUGUUAACCAAGGUAAAUUAAAUCUUAACCAUGAUUUAUGAUUAGUAUAAAUACCAAACACGUUGUUUAGUUUUAGUUUGGCAAAUUCAGGAGGUACCAAAGCAAGUAAAACUCAAGACAGUAAAGAAGAAUCAGAAUCCAUCAUCAAGAAAUUGAAUAUUCGGAAGGAUGAAACCGAUUAUACGUGAUAAUUACAAGAAUAUUAUCAAGCUAAGGACGACAGUGAGAUUGGCACAACCCAAGAGAUUUGCCCGGAAACGGGUUUUGGCAUAGGCAAGGAAAAGGCUCAUCACACAAGCUGAGGCUGCUAGACUACGUUGUUUGGUAGUACAACUAUAGUUAUUAUAAUGGUCUGUAAUCGGACUUGCAAAUAUGUAAUCAAGAUAGACCUGAUAGUAAUGUUGUAAGACGAUCGACCCUGGACUUGUGGGGCAAGAGUUGGAUUGUGUAAUCUUAAAUAUGUAAUGAAAGUUUUGUUUUGGGCCAGAUGUAUAGUGAUGGACCAAAUCUGCGGAAUGCGGAUCUGGGGGCGUCACAGAGUUGGUAUCAGAGCUAUAGUUAUAUCCUUAGGAUUUGAGAAACCCUAGGAAUAUAACGAGCGAGAAUGAUAUGAAGUUUAAGAUAGGUGCCCUAGUUGAACAUAUCUUCUUAUGUUAUAUUGCAUACGUGUUAAGUAAACUUUUAGCAAAGGGUAGUAGACCCUAUAUAUAUAAAUAUUUAUAGUUAUGAGCAAUCGUAGAUGUGACUAUUAGUAAUGAUGUUUUUGUAUAGAUGUCAGGUUACGAGGCUGAUUUUAAUCCACCGAUGGAUAUUGAGAUGAUAGAUAGCGAGUAUGAGAAUACUUCUAUACAGAUAUUAGAGUCAUCAUCACCUGAGAUCAUUAACCUGGUAUCUAAGGAGAUCAAGGAUAGAGAAUCUUUUGAGUUUACUAAGAGCAAUGGGAUGAAAAUCUUUCCAUCCUUACGUGAGUUGACUUGUGUUCCUACUUUGACCACUUCCUUUUCGACUUCCAUCGGUACUGUUUCCCCACCUGUUUAUGAGAGUUGAGACCCUUCCAUUUUGGACUUGUUUCGGCAUUUCGAGCCUACACCUCUUUCUUAUAGACCUAUUAUCACACAUACUUUUGAUAGUUAUCAUUUUGGGACCGUUGUGUCAUCUUUGAUUGGAAAUGCUUCUAUAACACCUUUGAGGGGUCACCCCCAUGUUUACACCAUAUCUGAACCUCGAGUUCGAAUUACACUUUUUUUUUUUACUACCAUGUCAAAGACUUGUGUACCAUUUACUUUCAUAUCCACCAUUUCAGUUUCUGCACCUCAGACCACUCUUUGUCAAAUUAGUGGAUCUUUCGACGCACCAGUUUCUGUACCAUCAGGUGGCGACUAUGUGCCACUUUCUUUGUUCCAUCAAUACCAGUUGUUGAGAGAGUCUACUUAUGACUCUAGAGUUGGGAUUCCAGGAUCUCACGACCCUAUGUUUGUUCUGCGGGUUCAGGAUUUUUGACCCGAGUAUUUAGCAUGGGGAUUAUGUAUAAAAUUUCUAUUUCUAUAUUUGAGGGACUUCAUGCUAAUAUCUGUGGAAUACCCUCCAUCAGCUCAGGAUAUGUAAAUGUUAAACUUUUUACAACACUGAUAAAUAGAACCUUUUCAGAGUUCCACCGUAGGAUCUCAGGGAUAUCUGGUUGAUAUAUUUGUUGUUUUAAGUAUAAUUUGACUUUUGGGAAAGAACACAUGUAGUCCGUGUGUAUCUCAAUUAUGGUAUAUUAUAGAGGAUAUGUAGAUACUUUUGUAUAGUAUCGGGAUGGAGAAUUGUUCACUUCCUUUUAUUGAGAAACAGAUGCUACAGUUUCGAUCAGUAGAUCAUUUUGGUAGUAGAGAUUUAUAUAAAGUGAUCUUUUGUAUAGUGGUGUCCAGAUUAAAUUUGAUAUAGUAGGGUGAUGACCAGAUCAGAUAUACUUCUAUAUCAUGACUUGUGCUCUAAAAAGCUUCAGAUAUUAUGACCACUUUGGGAAGAAUGAUCAAUCUUGUUGUCAUAUUGGUGUCUCUUUCUUUGUCUAUACUUUCCCUAUGCUUCUUGCACUUGUCAACUACUUUUAACCUGUUUCACUCCUGUCAACCUAUCUUGCAUCUGCUACCUCAAUGAUCCAAUGUGAAAUUUUUAUGAGUAUAUUUACUCAACCUUUUAAAGUUUUUUUUUUUCUUUUUUCGAGGUUUUCAAAAAAAAAAAAAAAAAAAAAAGAGAAACGUUCAAGUUUCUAAAGUUUUAGAGUUUUCAAAAGAAAAGGUACAACCUUUAAAGUUUCUAAAAGUUUUCAAAAAUAUGCAACUUUGGUACAACUUGUAUUUUCAACCAAAAUGUGGAACCUGUUUUCAAAAAUUAUAUACUAUGAAUUUUUCAAAAUUGCACAUUGUUGUACCUUUAAAUAAAUCUUGUAAUUUUGUAUAAUGAUGAAACCUAUUUUGUUCACUUUUAUAUAUUUGAAUUCGAACCUGAAUGACAACUCUUUUUAUGAAUCAAUACUAGAUGCUUCACCUGGAUUUCAACCCAGACCCAAUCCUGUUCAAUUACUUGUUGAUUUUCUUCAACAACAUACCUAAAAUUUUCAAAACAAUCCCGAAAGAAAUUCUUCGAGUCAAAACCUACCUUUUCAUUCAAAUCUUUCAAAUUUUUGCCACCACAAGAGUUUAAAAGGGGAUGUUGAUCCUGUUGAAGCCAAGAUAUGGCUAAGAUUUUGAAAUAGUUGGUAUAGAAGAUGAUAAGAAAAUUAAUUUUGAUGUUUAUGAAGAGUCUAAUUAUUGGUGGGAAGUUAAGCAAGUCCUAGAAGAUUCUAGCGUGAUGUCAUGGACCAGGUUUACAAAGUUAUUCCUAGAAAAGUAUUUACCUAAACACCUAGAGAAUCAAAUGGAGCUCAAAUUGCUAAAGCUCAAGCAAGAGAAUAUGUCAAUAGCUGAGUACGAAGCUAAGUUUAUCGAACUUUCGAAAUUUAUUCCGCAUCAAGUAUAUACCGACGAAAAAAAAAAAAAAAAAAACUGAAAAACUAGACGUUUUUCAGCCGGGCUUAAACCCCUGGAUUUAGAAUAGAGUUGUUGUUCUCGAGAUUUCUAGUUAUGCGACAUUAGUGCACAAAGCUUGUAUUAGUGAGUUGUUUAACCAAAAAAGUAAGUUAGUCGAAGGCGGAAACCCACGCAAAAUAAUCAAAAUGAUGGAAAGAAACCUUGGACUUAUGUUGUGAAGAAACCUUUUGUAAGAGAUGUCGCGAGUGAAGGAUAUAGGUAAAGUAGAAGCAAAUCAAAGAUGUAGAAUUUCGCAAACCGCAAAUGUGUUAUAAGGAAGACUCUCGUUGCUUGAGUACGGAUCUGUGGAAUACGCUAUUUAUGAAUAAUAUUACAUUUCACACUGUUUCUGCUCAAGUUGACAUCAUUUCUCAUUUUGAAAACUGAGAAGUUUAUGAUGUAUCUUGAGUCCUUUCUUUGUUCGGAAGCGACUACUCCUAAUAAUCAAUAUUUCUUUGAUGUUACAAAAUCUUUUGUGAUUCAUGAUUUAAUAGUCGAGAAUUGGAAUAAAUAUACACCACAAUGAUGAUCUUAAUAUAAUAAUUCUAAGAGAUCGUCUUAUAUUUGAUCCUAUUUCUUAUUUUAUCCACUGAAAAUCCUUGAAUUGUGAUUAAAGGAUGCAUUGCUCGCAUUCCUUGGAAGAAGUGUGUUGAGAAAUAAUUAUGGUAGAUCAAGGUUGCCCAAAUUGUGAAAUAACGAUUCAAAAGCAAAUCUUUGAAAUAAAUAUUCCUUGAUAUUUCUUCAAUCUGAUUGGGAUGAACAACCCUAAUUAUAGGGGACACAAGGUAUACCUAUCUGUGUGAUAGGAGUUGGAUGGGACGCCAUCACUUGUGUGUGUGUUGUAAUUACAAGAAGGUUAACAACCUUUAGUAGUGUCUUAAUUUGGACACGCAACACUUAGUUCAUUUGAUCGUAUUGGGCUCCCAAUCAUCCUUUUAUUUCAAAUGAGAGCUACUUUGAAAACUCAGUGAUCAGUGAUACCAUUGUGAAAGACUUCUAUAUGUCCAAGAGAGUUUUAAAAAAAUUCCGAUUUCCUUUAAAUUCUUCUCGAAAUGCUCAGAUAUCAAAUUGUUUGAUUUUGUUCUUUUCAAAAACGCAAUUUUUCCUAAGUUGUUUUGUAAAGGUGUUGUAUGGAGGUGUCAAAUCCAGACCCCCGGAUUUGAGGGUUGUUACAUCGAUUAUUGAGAUUUAACAAGAUGACCCUUGCCUAGGGUUGAUGAUUGUUUUAGUUGUUGAGGAAAGCAUCUUAUUUUUUUAAGAUAGACACGAGAUCUGGAUAUCAUCAGUUACAGAAUCGGGUCUGAGAAUGUACCUAAGACGGUCUUUAGGCCCCGACAUGAACAUUGUGAGUUCUUAAGAGAUGCCUUUCGGAUUGACUAAUGCACCUAUAACAAUUAUGGAUCUUAUGAAUAGAGUAUUGAAGAAAUAUUUGGAUAAGUUCGUUAUUGUUUUAUUGAUGAUAUAUAAUAUAUUCUCAGACGAAAGAAAAACAUGUUGAGCAUCUUAGAGUAACUUAGAAAAUUUUGAGGAAAGAAAAGUUAUCUGCAAAAUUUUCAAAAUGAGAAUUUUGAUAAAGCAAGUAUAGUUUUUAAGGGCAUAUAGUUUUUAAGAAAGGAAUAUUGGUAUACCCGCGAAGAUUGAGGCAUUAUCAAAUUGGAAAAGACUAAGAACCCCAACCAAAGUGAGAAGUUUUCUUGAUUUAGCAGGAUAUUAUAAAAUAUUUUUGAAAGAUUUCUUUAAGAUUGAGACUUCUUUGACUAAGUUGACUAGAAACGAAGAGAAUUUUGAGUGGAUACCUGAGUACGAGGAAAGUUUUCAAGAAUUAAAGAAGCGGCUUACAAUGGCCCUUGUAUUAACCUUACAUAAUGAGACAUGAUAUUUUGUGGGUUUAUAGCGAUGCAUCUCAUCAAGGACUUAGAUGUGUUCUUAUACAUACAUGGAGAGAUGAUAGCAUAUGCUUCUAGGGAACUUAAGGCUCACGAGCUGAGAUACCCCACAUGACCUAGAGUUAGCUGCUAUAAUGUUUUCUUUAAAGAUUUGGCGACAUUCCUUGUAUGGUGAGAAGUGUGAGAUAUUUACGGAUCGUAAGAGCUUAAAAAUACGGUUUGCUCUGAAAGAAUUGAAUAUGAGACAAAGGAGAUGGUUAUAAUUGAUAAAAGACUAUGAUUGUACAAUUAACUAUCACCCAGGGAAGGCUAAGGUAGUUGAUGACGCGUCAAGUAGAAAGGAGAGAAUUAAUGUGAUGUCUUGAUUCAAGAAAUUGAUUAAGAAUAUGGAAAAUCUAGGAUUGAAGAUUAAGGAUUCAGAGCAUAAGGAUGGAAGGAUUUUUGAGAUAUAAGUGUAGCCAGAGAUACUUGAAAAUAAUAAAACAAAUUCAAGAGUUGAUAAUUAAAGAAAGACAUUUUGAAUUUACUAACGAUGAGAAUUUAAGUGAAAUAUGAGAAAGGAAUUAUGAGAUUUGCUAAAAGAAUUUGGAUUCCUAACCUGUUUGAUCUUAAAAGAGAUAUUUUUUAGUAAAGCUCAUGAAUCGAGAUAUUCAAUACACCAGGAAAGUACUAAGACGUACCAAGAAUUUAAGAGAAACUAUUAGUCCCCUAACAUGAAAAGAGAAAUAGCUGAGGGGGUGAGUAAAUGUCUGACUUGUCAAAAAGUGAAAGCAGAGCACCAAAGACCUAACGGAUUAUUGCGGCCAUUAGAGAUUCCAGAAUGGAAAUGGGAACACAUCACCAUGGAUUUUAUAGUUAGAUUGCCAAAGACUCGAGCUAAUCAUGAUGCUAUUUGGGUAAUUGUAGAUAGGUUGACGAAAUUAGCAUAUUUUCUUCCUAUUAGUGAAAAGUACACCAUGAAGAGAUUAGUAAAGCUAUAUAUGAAUGAGGUCGUGACCAGACAUGGAGUGUCAGUGUCAAUUGUUUCAAGCAGAGAUGCAAGAUUUUCUUCAAGAUUCUGGCAAGCUUUUCAAGAGUGUUUUGGGACUAAGCUUAAUUUGAGAACUGCAUAUCACCCACAAACAGCUGGGCAAAGUAAAAGAACAAUACAAACUAUAGAGGAUAUGUUAAGAGCUUGUUCAUUAGAUUUUAAAGGAAGUUGGGAUGAUCACUUGCCUUUGGUGGAGUUUGCAUACAAUAACAGCUACCAUGCUAAUAUUGGAAUGGCGCCUUAUGGACAUUAUAUGGUAGAAAAUGUAGAUCGCCUCUUGUUUGGGAGGAAGUGGGAGAGAAAAAGUUAUUAGGACCGGAACUUGUUCAGCAAACUACACAAUUGAUCGAGAAGAUACACAAAAGGUUAGUUGAAGCUCAAGACAGGCAAAAGAAAUAUGCAGACUUAGGAAGAAAAGAAAUGACAUUUGAAGUUGGGGAAAAAUACUUUUGAAAGUAUCACCUUGGAAAGGAAUAAUCAGGUUUGGAAAGAAAAGAAAAUUGAAUCCAAGAUAAAUCGAAACCUUCGAGAUUCUAAGAAAAGUUGGAGUCGUGUCUUAUCAAUUAGCUUUACCUCCAGAUCUACAACAUAUUCAUGAUGUAUUUCAUGUAUCUCUUUUGAAAGCUUACAAGACUGAUAUUCAGCAUGUUCUAAAUUAGGAGCCGAUUAACCUUCAGUCUGAUUUAACAUAUGAAAAAAAAAAAGCCUUUGGAAAUUGUGGAGUCAAAGUUUCAGGAAUUAAGAAAUAAGAAAGUGAAAAUGUUUAAAGUAAUUUGGGGAAAUCAAACUGUAGAAGAAGCCACGUGGGAACUGGAAGAAGUAAUGAAAGAGAAGUAUCCAGAGUUGUUUCAGCAUCAAAUCUGAUUCCGAGGUCGGAAUCCUUUAAACGAGGGAAGAAUGUAACAACCGUAAAAUUUCAAGUACGUAAACAAAUUAAUUAUUUAAUUUUAUGCGGUUAAAGCUAUCAUUUAAAUAAUUGUGAAAUUAUUAUUUAAUAAAAAUAUUGGUACGUAAAACAUUUCAGGCUAGUACGAGGUUUGUUUAUAUCGGCUAGCAAAUUAAAUCCAUUUUCGUACCAUUAGGAUCUAAAUGUUGGCCACGUAAAUAAAUUGGUAGAUGUAUAAUUUUGUUAUGGCCCGGGAAUAUUAUAAAUUUUACGGGUUUAGCUAAAAUAAAUAUUUCGUUAUAACUAUUAAAUUUUGAAAUAUUUAGAGAAAUACUAGAAUAAUUAUUUAAUUAAUUAUUUAGUAUAAUCCCGAAUGAUAUUUUUUAUUAAAAUAUUUAAAUAGGAAGUUGUUAAAUGACCCGGGGCUAAAAUAUUUCCAGUUGCGAAACAUUUAAUAUACGGGCAAAUAAAAAGAAUAUAUAAAUAAAAAAAAAAAAUAUUUUAACAAAACUAGCUAACCGACUAAUGGGGUGGUUUGUGGCACAUUGGUUUAUCAAAACCAGGUACUUAAAAACCAAAGAGUAGUGCCCAAGUAAUUGUUAACCAAGGUAAAUUAAAUCUUAACCAUGAUUUAUGAUUAGUAUAAAUACCAAACACGUUGUUUAGUUUUAGUUUGGCAAAUUCAGGAGGUACCAAAGCAAGUAAAACUCAAGACAGUAAAGAAGAAUCAGAAUCCAUCAUCAAGAAAUUGAAUAUUCGGAAGGAUGAAACCGAUUAUACGUGAUAAUUACAAGAAUAUUAUCAAGCUAAGGACGACAGUGAGAUUGGCACAACCCAAGAGAUUUGCCCGGAAACGGGUUUUGGCAUAGGCAAGGAAAAGGCUCAUCACACAAGCUGAGGCUGCUAGACUACGUUGUUUGGUAGUACAACUAUAGUUAUUAUAAUGGUCUGUAAUCGGACUUGCAAAUAUGUAAUCAAGAUAGACCUGAUAGUAAUGUUGUAAGACGAUCGACCCUGGACUUGUGGGGCAAGAGUUGGAUUGUGUAAUCUUAAAUAUGUAAUGAAAGUUUUGUUUUGGGCCA
Molecule: long non-coding RNA, 8511 nt
Organism: Daucus carota subsp. sativus
Lineage: Eukaryota; Viridiplantae; Streptophyta; Magnoliopsida; Apiales; Apiaceae
Exons: 5
Source: RefSeq, a predicted model, not a curated record